AAUACCAUGCCCCAAUGGGAACCAGGCUCUUGCCCUUCUUCAAGCAAUGGUUCAUCACAAUCUUUCAUUUUCAAGUACAAAAUCUCUUCAUCAAGAAAAUCAUAUUGCACUGACUGAUAAUCUUCAAUUGGUUGGUGAGCCAAAUGGUCAGCCAAGAUACUACCUUUGAUCGCUUUCUGAGAUCAGUAUUCGAUAUCAUGCUCUGAUAACAACAUCUGCCAAUGGGCAAUCCUCC
This 235-nucleotide long non-coding RNA is filed under the name Lathyrus oleraceus (garden pea). Its description in RNAcentral is "Pisum sativum (pea) long non-coding RNA (PSAT_LNC022291)". The record is from RNAcentral. Lineage: Eukaryota; Viridiplantae; Streptophyta; Magnoliopsida; Fabales; Fabaceae.